GUGCCAGCGGCCGCGGUAAUACGGAGGGUGCAAGCGUUGUCCGGAAUCACUGGGCGUAAAGGGUGCGCAGGCGGGGCAGCAAGUCGGAGGUGAAAGCCCGUGGCUCAACCACGGAAGUGCCUUCGGAACUGUUGCUCUUGAGUCCCGGAGAGGCUGUCGGAAUUCGUGGUGUAGCGGUGAAAUGCGUAGAUAUCACGAGGAACACCAGAGGCGAAAGCGGGCAGCUGGACGGGUACUGACGCUCAAGCACGAAAGCGGGGGAAGCAAACAGGAUUAGAAACCCGAGUAGUCC
RNAcentral lists this ribosomal RNA (292 nucleotides) under uncultured bacterium. RNAcentral's name for it is "partial 16S ribosomal RNA". It matches the Rfam family "Bacterial small subunit ribosomal RNA", at positions 505 to 796 of the family's 1533-position model. The record is from RNAcentral.